GACGAACGCUGGCGGCGUGCUUAACACAUGCAAGUCGAACGGGGUAUAAGGAAGAGCUUGCUCUGAGCUAUACCUAGUGGCGGACGGGUGCGUAACGCGUGAACAAUCUGUCUUUGCGAGGGGGAUAACAUCUGGAAACAGAUGCUAAUACCGCAUGGGACCACAGUACCGCAUGGUACAGGGGUGAAAGGGCUUCGGCCCGCGCAGAGGUGAGUUCGCGUCCCAUUAGCUAGUUGGUGGGGUAGAAGCCUACCAAGGCGACGAUGGGUAGCCGAUCUGAGAGGAUGACCGGCCACACUGGAACUGAGAGACGGUCCAGACUCCUACGGGAGGCAGCAGUGGGGAAUAUUGGGCAAUGGGCGAAAGCCUGACCCAGCAACGCCGCGUGAGGGAAGAAGGUUUUCGGAUCGUAAACCUCUGUCGCAGGGGAUGAAGGAAGUGACAGUACCCUGUGAGGAAGCUCCGGCUAACUACGUGCCAGCAGCCGCAGUAACAC
This 496-nucleotide ribosomal RNA is filed under the name uncultured bacterium. RNAcentral's name for it is "bacterial SSU rRNA". It matches the Rfam family "Bacterial small subunit ribosomal RNA", at positions 28 to 526 of the family's 1533-position model. The record is from RNAcentral.